GUGUCAGCCGCCGCGGUAAUACGAGUUGUGCAAACGUUAUUCGGAAUCACUGGGCUUAAAGGGUGCGUAGGCGGCUACGAAAGUCAGGUGUGAAAUCCCUCGGCUCAACCGAGGAACUGCGCUUGAAACUGUGUAGCUAGAGGGAGACAGAGGUGAGCGGAACUGAUGGUGGAGCGGUGAAAUGCGUUGAUAUCAUCAGGAACACCGGUGGCGAAAGCGGCUCACUGGGUCUUUUCUGACGCUGAUGCACGAAAGCCAGGGGAGCAAACGGGAUUAGAUACCCUCGUAGUCC
This 292-nucleotide ribosomal RNA is filed under the name uncultured bacterium. RNAcentral's name for it is "partial 16S ribosomal RNA". It matches the Rfam family "Bacterial small subunit ribosomal RNA", at positions 505 to 796 of the family's 1533-position model. The record is from RNAcentral.